GCCAUUGUGGUAUAGUGGUUUGCGCAUUGGAUUAUGAUUCUGGAGAUCAGGGUUUGAUUCCCCGCUUGAGCA
Phrynosoma platyrhinos (Desert horned lizard) is the source of this 72-nucleotide non-coding RNA. NCBI's taxonomy places the organism in Eukaryota, Metazoa, Chordata, Lepidosauria, Squamata, Phrynosomatidae. The record is from the annotation of a GenBank genome assembly.